This 339-nucleotide ribosomal RNA is filed under the name uncultured bacterium. Its description in RNAcentral is "bacterial SSU rRNA". It matches the Rfam family "Bacterial small subunit ribosomal RNA", at positions 183 to 509 of the family's 1533-position model. The record is from RNAcentral.
GGAUCGCAUGAUCCUUAGAUGAAAGAUGGUUCUGCUAUCGCUUUUAGAUGGACCCGCGGCGUAUUAACUAGUUGGUGGGGUAACGGCCUACCAAGGUGAUGAUACGUAGCCGAACUGAGAGGUUGAUCGGCCACAUUGGGACUGAGACACGGCCCAAACUCCUACGGGAGGCAGCAGUAGGGAAUCUUCCACAAUGGACGCAAGUCUGAUGGAGCAACGCCGCGUGAGUGAAGAAGGUCUUCGGAUCGUAAAACUCUGUUGUUAGAGAAGAACACGAGUGAGAGUAACUGUUCAUUCGAUGACGGUAUCUAACCAGCAAGUCACGGCUAACUACGUGUC